RNAcentral lists this long non-coding RNA (1065 nucleotides) under Equus caballus (horse). RNAcentral's name for it is "lncRNA (ENSECAG00000059993.1)". The record is from RNAcentral. Lineage: Eukaryota; Metazoa; Chordata; Mammalia; Perissodactyla; Equidae.
GCUCUGUCCGGCUCACAAAGGACCCUUGUUCCAUCCGUUCGGGCUGCAGGGAGAGACAGGGAGUGAGUGAUGGGACAGCUGAGGCGUCCGUGGAAGUGCGAGACAAAGUGGCCUGGCCUGUUCUCAUCUGUCACAGACAGGCUGUGUUAGAGACCACACAGACGGUCAGGUUCCGAGGUUUCAGCGGAGUCAGGAAUAAAGCAGCCUCUUGACAGCAUUUGAUGGAUGAGCUAAAGCAGUGCUUCUCAAACUUGGGUGUGCAUCGGAACCUGGGGGCUCCUUACAGCACGACUGGCUGGGCCCCACCCUCAGAGUUUCUCUGGGUGAGGUCUGAAAAUCCGCAUCUCUCAGGUGAUGGGGCAGCUUCCGGAACUGCACUGUGCACAUCACUAUGCUACAGUAUACUUUUGAAAAGGAUUGAUAUUCUCCAACGCAGAGCGGAUCGAUGCACGUAAUUCUUGCAGAUUUCCUUUGGCUUUGCGCCGUGAGGGAGGGAGACAGUUGGAAACGUCGUGAUUUUGAGAGGAAGCCGGUGUUUCCUGAAGCCUUUGUUUUGGGUGCGCCUUAACCGCACCUGCGUUUCUUGCAGCUUCUUACAAAGAAACUUCUUUUUUUUUUUUUGAGAGUCAAAAUAGUUGAACUGAAGUUAUUUUCAACCGGAGGGAAAUGUUUGAAAGCUCAGCCUUUGUGAGCCCAAAGAGCAUUGUUUCAUCGACAGUGAUUGAAACAGUCAUUUCCUUUGGGAAGUCUUUGCCAUUGAAGCAAACUUUGAUUUUGGAAGCAAAAGUUUUGGCUUUAAAGAUGGGAUCCAAGUGUUACACCUUCUUCUCAUAGCUCCCCGGCCAUUUAUCGGAGUGCUGUGAUAGUAAGGUUGUUUGCAUUUGAACAGAAAGACCUGCUCUGGCCAGCUGGGCUGAUGCUAAGAGGCAGUAUAGUUCAGUGGUGAGGAGCACAUCCCUUACAGCUGGGCUGCCUGGGUUUGCCUCACUCUGCCACUUGCAAGCUGGAAUCUUCGGCAAAUUACAUAACUGUCCUGAACUUCAGUUUCUGCCUUUAUAAAAUGGG